Long non-coding RNA from Lampris incognitus (smalleye Pacific opah), 437 nucleotides. RefSeq lists it as uncharacterized. The record is from RefSeq and is a predicted model, not a curated record. NCBI's taxonomy places the organism in Eukaryota, Metazoa, Chordata, Actinopteri, Lampriformes, Lampridae. The transcript has 3 exons.
CUUAAUUUUGUGCGUUGACACAAUAACCCAACGGGUGUUUGACAGUAAUGAAUUGUUGACAACAUUUCUGCAUGUCUACAAUGUGUCCAUAUGGCAUUGAAAGUCAUUGUUCGUUUCAGUUGCCUCACUUGCCUACCAAGCUUCCAAACAUGGGGCAGUAAUCCUACAAAGGCCAAGAUCAUGCUUGAAUCUUGGUCAUACAUAAAUUGCAAGGUUUUGGGAUAAGUGUUGCCAAAAAGUUUGAAGAGUCAGGACGUGGAAGAAGCUUUAGUGUGAUUGGUCGUUUUGGUGCGAGCAGGCCCUGGAUGUCCAUCUCAAAGGGGACCUGGCAGGAAAUGUCACAUGAAGGAAAAUAAAACAAAUGGAACUUGCACACUUUAUACAUAUAGCAGACAGAGUAAUAGUUUCUUGAAAUAUUGAUUUUUUUUAAUCCUACU